Molecule: transfer RNA, 76 nt
Filed under: Candidatus Saccharimonadota bacterium
Lineage: Bacteria; Candidatus Saccharimonadota
Also listed under: 1 other name
Description: tRNA-Trp
Rfam family: tRNA
About the family: Transfer RNA (tRNA) molecules are approximately 80 nucleotides in length. Their secondary structure includes four short double-helical elements and three loops (D, anti-codon, and T loops).
Source: RNAcentral
AGGGGUGUAGCUCAGGUGGUAGAGCACUGGUCUCCAAAACCAGGUGUCGCGAGUUCGAGUCUUGCCGCCCCUGCCA